This 898-nucleotide ribosomal RNA is filed under the name uncultured Bacteroidota bacterium. Its description in RNAcentral is "bacterial SSU rRNA". It matches the Rfam family "Bacterial small subunit ribosomal RNA", at positions 43 to 966 of the family's 1533-position model. The record is from RNAcentral. Lineage: Bacteria; Pseudomonadati; Bacteroidota.
CAGGCCUAACACAUGCAAGUCUDACGGGUGUAGCAAUACCUAGUGGCGCACGGGWGUAACGCGUAACCAACUGCCCUGAACUGGGKGAUAGCCCGCCGAARGUUAAUACCGCAUAAAHCAACAGUACGGCAUCGUAUAAUUGGUAAAGAUUUAUUGGUUCAGGAUGGGGUUGCGUGACAUUAGCUAGUUGGCGGGGUAACGGCCCACCAAGGCGACGAUGUCUAGGGGACCUGAGAGGGUGAUCCCCCACACUGGCACUGAGAUACGGGCCAGACUCCUACGGGAGGCAGCAGUAGGGAAUAUUGGGCAAUGGGCGAGACGUGACCCAGCCAUGCCGCGUGCCGGAUGAAGGCCUUCUGGGUUGUAAACGGCUUUUCUCAGGGAAGAAAAAGACCAUGCGUGGUACACUGACGGUACCUGAGGAAUAAUCACCKDCUAACUCCGUGUCAGCAGCCGCGGUAAUACGGAGGGUGCAAUCGUUGUCCGGACUUAUUGGGUUUAAGGGUGCGUAGGUGGCCCGUUAAGUCCGGGGUGAAAGCCACAGCUCAACUGUGGAACUGCCCUGGAUACUGGCGGGCUUGAGUACAGACGAGGUUGGCGGAAUGGAAGAUGUAGCGGUGAAAUGCAUAGAUAUCUUCCAGAACCCCGAUUGCGUAGGCAGCUGACUAGGCUGGUACUGACACUGAGGCACGAAAGCGUGGGGAGCGAACAGGAUUAGAUACCCUGGUAGUCCACGCCGUAAACGAUGGAUACUCGCUGGGUGGCGAUAGACAGUCACUGGCUUAGCGAAACGGUAAGUAUACCACCUGGGGAGUACGCUCGCAAGAUGAAACUCAAAGGGAAUUUACGGGGGGCGCACAAGUGGUGGAGCAUGUGGUUUAUUCGAUGAUACGCGAGG